Long non-coding RNA from Homo sapiens (human), 403 nucleotides. RefSeq annotates it as long independently transcribed non-coding RNA 1515. The record is from RefSeq and is marked validated. NCBI's taxonomy places the organism in Eukaryota, Metazoa, Chordata, Mammalia, Primates, Hominidae.
GGCCUCACUCACGGCAUAUGGAACUAACCACGCCCCUAACUAAGAAGGCACACCUUAGUUGCAGUUAGCACACAAUUAAAGCAACUCUCCAAGUUUUACCUUAAAGUUCAAAAUUGCUAGGAGUUGAAACUACUAGAAAUAUAUUUACAUGCAAGAGUCAAAGAAACUUUGAACUAUUUAUGGCCUUUAAUAAUUAAGUAAGGUAUACUCCUGUGAUCAAGACUUGGAGCAUAUUUGUUUCUCUCUGCCUGGUUCCUCUAGAAAUUGGAAACUAUCAUGUGUGACACAUGUGCUCAUGGAUUAUUGUCCGAAGCAAGACAUGUGACCAAGCCUAACAUCAACUGGGUGAAGAGCUAUAUGUUCCUUUCUCAAGAGGCACUACAAGUGACAUGCCACUGGGCAG